UCCGGGGUAGCUCAAUUGGCAGAGCAAACGGCUGUUAACCGUUAGGUUCUCGGUUCGAGUCCGAGCCCCGGAGCCA
Molecule: transfer RNA, 76 nt
Filed under: Acidimicrobiales bacterium
Lineage: Bacteria; Bacillati; Actinomycetota; Acidimicrobiia; Acidimicrobiales
Also listed under: 1 other name
Description: tRNA-Asn
Rfam family: tRNA
About the family: Transfer RNA (tRNA) molecules are approximately 80 nucleotides in length. Their secondary structure includes four short double-helical elements and three loops (D, anti-codon, and T loops).
Source: RNAcentral